RNAcentral lists this long non-coding RNA (277 nucleotides) under Mytilus galloprovincialis (Mediterranean mussel). Lineage: Eukaryota; Metazoa; Mollusca; Bivalvia; Mytilida; Mytilidae. The record is from RNAcentral.
GACUUCAUGUGUUAUAGUAGUCUAAGCCUGUAUUAUGCACUUUAGGAGUAUUGACCGGGGUAGUAAAUACCACUGGUAAAUCUUGUGCAUUGGACCUAGUGCAACUCAAUAAUUAUACAUAAGUGUAUUAAUUAUGUCUCGAGUUUAUUUGAAAAAAAUUGGAUCAAUAGGGUCAUUGACCAGAAAUUUGAUUACGCGUGUAUUUCAGAUUAGCUCUUGACGAUUUUAAUCCUCAAGAUCAUUUUUUCAAAAUUCAAAAUAAAACCAAGACCAUCCC